GGAUGACCUGGGGCCAGUUUGGGUUUCCAUUUUAGGAAUGUUUUGGGUCUGUUGAAGUGUCCAUGGCAAAAGUCUGGUUUGGAAAGAAUGGGUUGUAAAGUCAUCUGGGGGUGGGUGCUUCUAUGAGAGAAACAAAAAGACAUGAGGACUGGAAUGAGAUUAUGCAAAAUAAUGUCACAGCAUCUAGAACAGAUCAAUGAAUAUCAUGAAGUUGAUGGAAACUAUUAAUCUCACUAGGAGGUACAAGAGCUGAGAAGUUGUUCCCAUAACAAAGCCGGUGAGGAUAAGGCCUUUAUUUGGGAAUGUAAAUCUUUAACAUUGCCAGGAUUAUCACAAUAAUUAGUUUUAUAAUGUCACAGAUUCCCCCAUAAGAUGUAGUUAUCUAAUGUCAUCUGAUUUUUACAAAAUACCUUUCUAUUAGCAUAACCUCUGUGCUUAGUAGAGAUCUCUCUAUUUCUGUUACUUAGAACUUUCUUAGUAAAGUUUGUUAGGACUAUUAUGUGCCAUGUUACAUUUUUUAGACCAAUAUGAGGUAUACAUUUGGGGCUAGAUAAUCAUACUAGCAGACACAGAAACAGAGAUCAAGCUUGCCUAUAUAGGAGGUUAGGAAGAUUUGUAGAUCUCAAAUUGACUCAGAAAAAAGGCUUAUGACUCUGACAGUCUCUUUGUGUGUGUGUAUGUGUUGGGUUGUGUGC
This 695-nucleotide long non-coding RNA is filed under the name Marmota monax (woodchuck). The record is from RNAcentral. Lineage: Eukaryota; Metazoa; Chordata; Mammalia; Rodentia; Sciuridae.